CCUACGGGCGGCAGCAGUGGGGAAUAUUGCACAAUGGGGGAAACCCUGAUGCAGCGACGCAGCGUGAGUGAAGAAGUAAUUCGUUAUGUAAAGCUCUAUCAGUAGGGAAGAAAAUGACGGUACCUGAGUAAGAAGCCCCGGCUAACUACGGGCCAGCAGCCGCGGUAACACGUAGGGGGCAAGCGUUAUCCGGAGUUAAUGGGUUUUAAGGGUGCGUAGGCUGUGAGGUAAGUCAGCGGUGAAAUGCCUCCGCUCAACGGGGUGAAGUGCCAUUGAUACUGCCUUGCUGGAGUGCGGAUGCCGUGGGAGGAAUGUGUGGUGUAGCGGUGAAAUGCAUAGAUAUCACGCAGAACACCGAUUGCGAAGGCAUCUCACGAAUCCGCGAUUGACGCUGAUGCACGAAAGCGUGGGUAUCAAACAGGAUUAGAUACCCUUGUAGUC
RNAcentral lists this ribosomal RNA (441 nucleotides) under uncultured bacterium. RNAcentral describes it as "partial 16S ribosomal RNA". It matches the Rfam family "Bacterial small subunit ribosomal RNA", at positions 338 to 795 of the family's 1533-position model. The record is from RNAcentral.